GGAAAGAACUGUGUGGUAAAGCAUCUCCUUUGCAUGCAGAAGAUCCCAGGUUUAAUCCCUGGUCUCUCCA
Podarcis lilfordi (Lilford's wall lizard) is the source of this 70-nucleotide non-coding RNA. The record is from the annotation of a GenBank genome assembly. Lineage: Eukaryota; Metazoa; Chordata; Lepidosauria; Squamata; Lacertidae.